This 166-nucleotide ribosomal RNA is filed under the name uncultured bacterium. RNAcentral's name for it is "partial 16S rRNA". It matches the Rfam family "Bacterial small subunit ribosomal RNA", at positions 355 to 511 of the family's 1533-position model. The record is from RNAcentral.
UAGGGAAUCUUCGGCAAUGGGGGCGAACCCUGACCGAGCAACGCCGCGUGAGUGAAGAAGAUUUUCGGAUCGUAAAGCUCUGUUGUAAGAGAAGAACGUGUGUGAGAGUGGAAAGUUCACACAGUGACGGUAACUUACCAGCAAGUCACGGCUAACUACGUGCCAG